CACUUUUUUAACUACAUGCCCACACAGUUAUAUAAUGAAUUAGGUAGGUCUCUCUGUAUUUGAGCCACAACAACUCAUCAAUGCGGACACAAUCCUGGUUUCCAUGGCAUUAAGAGAUCAGAGAGGACAAGACUACCUCCUGGAUGGAUGGGAAGCCAGUCCAAUGCAGAGCCUACCCCACCAGUCCCCAUUCUUGCAGCUGGAUGGUCUGGAGAAAUUGGGCUAAACCUGUUCACUCAAGGGCUGCUGGCACUGUGGUCUGUAGCUGUGUGUGCUGUGGAGAGGUAUCUGGUGGUAUGCUGACCUUUUAAAGCCCUCAGUUUUGGGAAGCAGCAUGCAGGAUCUGCACUCCUGAUCAUUUGGCUACAGUCACUGGGAUGGUCUCUUCUUCCUUUGCUGGGCUGGAGAGCAUACAAACUGGAUGGCAGCAGCUGGAGUUGUGCCCCCGUCUGGCACAGGCAAGACUUUAAGAGCCGUUGCUAUCUCUUGUCAGUCUUCGCCAGCUGCUUUCUCAUCCCCUUCUUUCACCUCACACUUUCUUACAGCACUUUACAACAUGGAAAGACAAUGUCCUGCAUGCAACUAAGCCCUGACCUCUGCAAUCAAAAAGAGAAUCAAAACUUCUGAAAUUUGCAAUCAUUAGGUUUGCAUGAUUUCUCUUUGGUAAAGUAGAAUGUGAAAUGAUGAAUAAGCUAUAUUGGGGAGAUAUAUGUAUUUCCCCUAAUAUAUAUAGGGGAUAUAUAUACUGUAUACGGGAAUAUUAACGGAGAUGCAAAAGGGUAAUGCUACAGAAACAUGAUUACAAGUUAUCUUGAGAUGUUAUCUUAUGAGGGAUAAAGAAACUAUUCCUUCUCCACCAAUAAGAUAAGACCACUUUAUCAGCCAUAUACAAUUUCUUGUAUUAGGAAUGUAUUCACAUACCCCAACUUGCUCUCCAUGAGACACACAGACAGGGAGAGAAGCUUGGGGUCAGAGCACAGGGUCAGACAUUUAUACUGCGCCCCUGGAGCAGUUGGGGUUAAGGGCCUUGCUCAGGGACCCACCAGAGUAGGAUUCCUCUGCCAGCCGUGGGAUAUGAA
This 1079-nucleotide long non-coding RNA is filed under the name Lepisosteus oculatus (spotted gar). Its description in RNAcentral is "lncRNA (ENSLOCG00000022876.1)". Lineage: Eukaryota; Metazoa; Chordata; Actinopteri; Semionotiformes; Lepisosteidae. The record is from RNAcentral.